CAUCGAGUUUUUGAACGCAAGUUGCGCCCGAAGCUUCCGGCUGAGGGCACGUCCGCCUGGGCGUCACGC
Molecule: ribosomal RNA, 69 nt
Filed under: Silene roemeri (Roemer's campion)
Lineage: Eukaryota; Viridiplantae; Streptophyta; Magnoliopsida; Caryophyllales; Caryophyllaceae
Description: partial 5.8S ribosomal RNA
Source: RNAcentral